UACAGAGGGGGCAAGCGUUAUUCGGAAUUAUUGGGCGUAAAGGGCUCGUAGGUGGCCAACUAAGUCAGACGUGAAAUCCCUCGGCUUAACCGGGGAACUGCGUCUGAUACUGGAUGGCUUGAGUUUGGGAGAGGGAUGCGGAAUUCCAGGUGUAGCGGUGAAAUGCGUAGAUAUCUGGAGGAACACCGGUGGCGAAGGCGGCAUCCUGGACCAACACUGACACUGAGGAGCGAAAGCCAGGGGAGCAAACGGG
Molecule: ribosomal RNA, 253 nt
Filed under: uncultured bacterium
Lineage: Bacteria
Description: partial 16S ribosomal RNA
Rfam family: Bacterial small subunit ribosomal RNA
Source: RNAcentral